RNAcentral lists this ribosomal RNA (496 nucleotides) under uncultured Sphingobacteriales bacterium. Its description in RNAcentral is "bacterial SSU rRNA". It matches the Rfam family "Bacterial small subunit ribosomal RNA", at positions 884 to 1382 of the family's 1533-position model. Lineage: Bacteria; Pseudomonadati; Bacteroidota; Sphingobacteriia; Sphingobacteriales. The record is from RNAcentral.
CCAGCCCGCUCAGAAACUCAAAUGAAUUGAGGGGCCCGCACAAGCGGAGGAGCAUGUGGUUUAAUUCGAUGAUACGCGAGGAACCUUACCUGAGCUCGAACGUAAGAUGACUGUAGGUGAAAGCUUACAUCUCUUCGGAGCAUUUUACGAGGUGCUGCAUGGUUGUCGUCAGCUCGUGCCGUGAGGUGUCGGGUUAAGUCCCAUAACGAGCGCAACCCCUACCUUUAGUUGCCAUCAGGUAAUGCUGGGGACUCUAAAGGAACUGCCUACGCAAGUAGUGAGGAAGGCGGGGAUGACGUCAAAUCAGCACGGCCCUUACGUCCAGGGCUACACACGUGCUACAAUGGCCGAUACAGAGGGCAGCUACCUGGUGACAGGAUGCAAAUCUCCAAAGUCGGUCUCAGUUCGGAUCGGAGUCUGCAACCCGACUCCGUGAAGUUGGAUUCGCUAGUAAUCGCGCAUCAGCCAUGGCGCGGUGAAUACGUUCCCGGGCCUU